Molecule: long non-coding RNA, 391 nt
Filed under: Ananas comosus (pineapple)
Lineage: Eukaryota; Viridiplantae; Streptophyta; Magnoliopsida; Poales; Bromeliaceae
Description: long non-coding RNA (ACOM_LNC005660)
Source: RNAcentral
GAUGCGACCCCACCUAGGAAAUCUGCGUACUUUGUCGAGCUCAAAUCUGGCUUAUUCAAGCUGUACUCGAUGCAAAUGAUCAAUCAGAUCAGUAAAGUAUAACUCAUGUGCCCUCGACACAAUUUAGUAUAAAAAUCAAAGAUCUGGAUCCACUGCCAAAUCCAGACAGCACCCAACUAUGCAACUCAGCCUAUAUUCUGCUGUGAAAAUCCACUCGUCCCUUCAACACGAAUGUAAAUCCAAUCUACACUAAUCUAAGUACUUACAACCCACUAAUAGGGGUGAGAAGACAAUAAAAAUAACUGACUAAGUUAAUCUUUAACGACGACAAUUAACUAGUAUGUAGUGCAGGUUUUCUCCUAAGUCAAAUCCCAAUUCAGCAAUUAAACUU